UUCACUUCCCCUCCUUCCAGCCAGUGGGUGGAACCGAGAGAGAGCCUCUCCAGGGAGCCGCGUACACAGUCCAGAAGGCUGCAGUAUUUCCUCCAAGAAAAAAAAAGAAGAAGAAGAAGGAAGAAGAAGAAGAAGACGACGAAAGAAAAAGGCUGCUGCCACCCCUCUGCUGGCUAUCUGGAAUAGCAGAGUGAGCAGCGUCUGCAGCUGAGUCCCAGGUGGAACCGAACCCCAGCCUGCCCUUGCGGUGCCUGGGUGGGGCAUGGCUCCCAAGCUCCCAAGCGGCCUUCUCCUUUUCAAUCGUCAAGUUCCCAGAGCCAGGAGAAAAGUCAUUGAAGUACUUGGUGAGGACUUGACACGGCUAGCUAAGCUGCUAUCUGCGAGUGAUGCAGUGGGAAUCCAACCGGUCUUCCGGACCAGACAGUCAAGCAUCUUCUGCUUGAGGACACUGUCAUCCCACAUGACCCUCUGAGCUCCUUCAGUGACCAGGACUGCUAAGAGCAGCAUCCGUGACCUCCUCCACCAGUUCUGACCAAGGGCAUUGGUAUUCUCAUAUGAACUUCUGACUCUGGAGAUUCCAGGAAGGAAACACUGUGUUAUUUACAAACAAAAGGCUCAAUAAAUAGCUCGCAGUAGAAGCAAUAGACCACUUAUAUGUAAAGCUCUCAGUAUGAGUCUGUGCUAUCAGCAAUUUCUUCACAAAUUGCUACAUUCCAAAAUGCUAUUCCAUUCCAUUGGAUUGUUGUAAUGUUCUAGGUGUUGAUGGUCAUUAGCCUCAGAAUCCUCAUGACACAUUUAAGGCUUUCCCUAAGUAAAGCAAAGUGGGUCCAUAA
Long non-coding RNA from Mesocricetus auratus (golden hamster), 833 nucleotides. RefSeq lists it as uncharacterized. The record is from RefSeq and is a predicted model, not a curated record. NCBI's taxonomy places the organism in Eukaryota, Metazoa, Chordata, Mammalia, Rodentia, Cricetidae. The transcript is spliced from 2 exons.